UCUCAAAAAAUUUUAUAUAUACACUCUUUUCGUCUUAUUUUAUACGAAAGGAGUUGUUACUAUAAGAUUAGCCUUUUGGAACAACGUAUGAAGAAUUUUUUCUUUUAAAGUAUAUCAUAUCUAUAUCUAUAUAAAGCAGGGACAUGAGCCCGCUGACGCGGCGCUCUAAAAACCUAGCAUUCCCAUUUAUCCCUUUUUACAAUUUUUUGCCUUUUUCUGCUCUUUAAAAUUACAGUUUAAAAAAACAAGCUUUUAACGAGAAUUUCAACAGUCGCUUCUUUUCCUUGCGGGGAAAAAAAUGCUCGCUGCAUUUAACACAAAAAACGGUCGCUGCGUUUAACCCUCCUAGCAGAAUAAAUCCAAACGAAAAGUUCCUUUCCAAGCAUGUUGAACAUCAGUUUUCUAAGCCCAGAAAAUAAAGGAGCGAAAUAAACUCAAAAAACAGUAAAAAUAGCACUUCACGCCUUGCUCUCCUUGGUCAGUAUUUCUUCACCAGAAAAUAGAUUGAAUAGCUAGGCCUAAUUAUCUAAUAUAGAUAGCGUGAUGACGAUUCAGGUUAGUUGUUCUCAUAAAUUGUCUAUUGAACUUCCUUUCAUCAAGAAUAUAUACAUGUAUCUGCUAUCAAAAUUUAUUAUCUGACUGAUCGAAAUUUAUGCAUUGAUCACGUCAUGUGCACUGUCCACCAAAAUUGUUUAUUUAAGUCGGACAGAUUCAACAAAGGGUUAAAAUGCUCUUUACCCACAUGUUAUCGAUUUCAUUUGUCAUGAAUACUCCAUUGCUCUUUCUUUUAUACUUCCAGAUUUCAAGUAUACAUUCAUGGUCCUUUAUUUGCUAUCAUGCACAAUGAAGGAGUUUUCAAGAACUUGACUUGAGCAGCAUUCCUUCUGUCAGCAAGAGAAACCAUGUUCCCCUACAUAUCUAUGUGAUUUUCAUUCUUCUUUUUAAUGUAAAGUUACCCCACUGCAGGUAAGUUCUUAAAUGUUUCCCUUCAUUUUUCCUCUUUUUUGUUGAUUUAAAAACUUCCGUAUAGUAAUUAUAUUUUUCGAUCAAUGUCUGCUGAAGAAAAUUCAAAAUGUGUUCUUAUGACCCUUUAUAAAUUCGUUUCAUUUGUUGCUAUGUAUAGCAACUGAUCUAAAGUUUGCAUUAUCAAACGCUUGGCGCUUUUAAAAAAGCAUGUAGUCUACUCCAUAAUGAUUCCGUAAAAUCUGAUGCAAAGCUUCCUAUACUUGAAGAUUUCUCUAUUUGCUGUCCAAUAUUGUUUAGGCAGCCUAAAAUGUUACACGUAAUUGCAAUGUUGGUGAGGUCUAAGAAAUGUACUACCAUUUUCUUUAGUCCUAUCUGAAUGUGAACUUGAUUACUUUAUUGGAGUUGAUAAAAUUAGGAGUGUUCAUAAAGAAAUUCGGUCUAUAUACCACAUUCAAAUUGUUGACGUUACUAUUAUUAGAACAUUUUUACUACUUAUUCUUUAUUUUGUUACUGCUUAUUCUUUAUUGUUACUAGAUUAUUCUUUAUUGUUACUAGAUUAUUUACUGCAUAGGCUUUUAUUUUAGUUUUCACUAUUUUAGGAGUCCAUCAUAAUCUUUUCCUUGAUUUCUGGUGUAGUUCCACCGUAGGGGAGACUUUGUUAGUUUGCAUUGUGUAUAUAUUUCGAUUCUUCAUCAAUUAAUAAAAGUAUCUUUUUGCUUCAUCUUUCUCAGUUAUUAUAACUAUUACUGAUUUAUAAAGUUUUUUGUUGCAGGUGUUGUAGAAAAUCAGUAGUAAUUCAACCGUGGAAUGUGGAAAUAGAGAAUUUCAGAAGGUGUCUUGAUAUCCUUGUGUGUAUAUAAAAGAUUGAUUGUCAAUGCUUUUAAUUACUAUAAUGUUGUGGGUGACUAAGAAACGGGAACUUUUUGUCUAUCAGAAUCAAUCAUGUAGAGACGCUCCAAAGCAAGACGAAUCUGUGUCUACCUACAACUUCAAAGCUCUCCCACUUAAUAAAAAGCUAUCUCUUACAUCUGAGCCCCAACCAGCUACUGCCAAAGUGCAGUUGAAAGCACAAGUCUAUCCCGCCUUCCGUCAAAGGUUCCAGUUUUUUGUUCUGAUCUUAUUUAGUUAAACAUAGUCUUGAUUUUUUAUUUCGUACAUCUUUUUGGUACAAGGGCUCUAAAGAAAAUGGAUGGACUUAUUUCCAUCAAAAUCGUGACGAAAGCAAUAAUUAUAUAGUGGUUCCUAGCUUCUUCCAUCUCCAUUCAUGUUUCUAAUAGGCUUUUCAAGCAGCAAUAUUUUCAGCAUUAUAAUGGGUAUAAACUUUAAUCCUGUAAAAUUCUUCUUUUAAGAUAGUACACAUGGAGAAGAGAAACUAGCUGAUCUCAAAAGCAAAGGCAAUUCAAUUCGGUGGCGAUGUGGGAUAACUGUAGUUUGCCAGGUCUCUAACACCAUCAAUAAUCGACACAUCUCUGAAGCUCAGUGAUGCAUGCAUGGUUCCAAAUUUGCUGGAUAAUGGAUUACCCUUCUCCACUUACGUUUUUGUUUGCCAAGGAGUUUGGGCAUUUUUGGGGACAAAAACAGCACAUUUCUUGAUGUAAAUGAAGACUUUUUUGCUAUAUUCAAAAGGCAGACUCAGGCGAUGUAGCAAUACCAGUACAUAACAAUGUCUGAACUUAUCAAGUGUAUUCAAAUAUUUAGCAACUUUAUAACUUAUAUUUUAGAAUCAAUUUCUUCACAUGUAAACCACCAGAUACAAACAAUGUUAAUCACCAUGUCAUCAUGUGAAUAAAAUGAGGAAGUGUUGUUUA
This is a long non-coding RNA of Lycium barbarum (goji berry), 2774 nucleotides long. RefSeq lists it as uncharacterized. The record is from RefSeq and is a predicted model, not a curated record. NCBI's taxonomy places the organism in Eukaryota, Viridiplantae, Streptophyta, Magnoliopsida, Solanales, Solanaceae. The transcript has 4 exons.